Molecule: non-coding RNA, 2347 nt
Organism: Callithrix jacchus (white-tufted-ear marmoset)
Lineage: Eukaryota; Metazoa; Chordata; Mammalia; Primates; Cebidae
Source: RefSeq, a predicted model, not a curated record
GAGCAAGACUUCAUCUUAAAAAUUAAAAAUCAGAAGAGCAGCCGCCAGCGGAGGGCAGGCCCCGGCGCAGGGCAGAGCGGAAGGGACGGGAGGGGGGGCGCACGGGCCCCCUGGGAGGCCGCGGCCACUCCCCCCACCCCCGCCCGGGCCGGCGCGGCGGGGUAGGAGGAGGAUGGAAACACCCUUCGACGGCCCUUCGUCGGCGAUGAGGCGCUGAGCGGCCUGGGCAGCGGCGACAGUGACAGCAGGGACAACUUUGCGUCCCUGGGCCGCCUGUUCCCUGGGGCGCCCCCGACGGCGGCUGCCGGCAGCAUGAUGAAGAAGGACGCGCUGACGCUGAGCCUGAGCAUGCAUGCAGGUGGCGGCGGCACUCAAGCCCACGGCCGCGCCGCCUCCGACCCACCUGCGCGCCGACAGCGCCCCAGCGCGGCACCCCCAAAUGGCCUGCUCGCCUCGACCGACCUGGGGCUGCUGAAGCUCGACUCCCCCGAGCUCGAGCCCCUCAUCGUCCAGUCCAAUGGGCUGGUCACCACUACGCCGAUGAGCACGCAGUUCCUCUACGCCAAGGUGGUGGCCAGCGAGAAGCAGGAGUUCGCCGAGGGCUUCGUCAAGGCUCUGGAGGAUUUGCACAGGGAGAACUAGCUCGGCCCAGGCGCGGCGGCCGCUGCAGCCGCCGGGCCCUCGGGCACCGCCGUGGGCUCCGCGCCCACACCCCCGCCCCGGCGAGGUGGCCCCGGCCGCGGCCGCGCCCGAGGCGCCAGUCUACGCGAACCUGAGCAGCUACGCGGGCGGAGCCGGGGGCGCGGGGGGGCGUCGCGACGGUCCCCUUCGCCACCGAGCCCGUCCCCUUCCCGCCGCCGCCGCCCACUGGCGCGUUGGUGCCGCCGCCGCCGCCGCCCACGGGCGCGUUGGUGCCGCCGCGCCUCGCUCCGCUCAAGGACGAGCCACAGACUGUGCCCGACGUGCCGAGCCUCGGCGAGAGCCCGUAGCUGUCGCCCAUCAUCAUGGACACGUAGGAGCGCAUCAAGGCGGAGCGCAAGCGGUUGCGCAACCCCUUCGCCGCCUCCAAGUGCCGCAACCGCAAGCUGAAGCGCAUCUCGCGCCUGGAGGAGAAAGUGAAGACUCUCAAGAGCCAGAAUACGGAGCUGGCAUUCACGGCGACUCUGCUGUGCGAGCAGCGGGCUCAGCUCAAGCAGAAAGUCCUCAGUCACGUCAACAGCGGCUGCCAGCUGCCGCCCCAGCAUCAGGUGUCCGCUUACUGAGUCCGCGCGCGGGGCGCAUGCCCGGCCGCCUUCCCCGAGGGGCGGGCUCACGGGGGGGUAUCGUGGGCGCCCGGGACUUGGAGAGGGUGCGGCCCCCGGGGAUCCCCCCGAAGGUGCCCAGGACUCGGAAGGGGUGCCCCGGACUCGACAAACUGGACACCCUGCUCCCAGGGCAUGAGCCCCCGCCCUCGCGCUGCCUCUGUCCUCCGCGGGGCCGCGCCGUGUUGCACAAACCCGCGCGUCUCGCGUGCCCCUUUGUAUACCGCGCCGCGGAAGGGGCUCCAAGGGGGCGCAGCUUCAAACCCUGCCUUUCCUUUUCUUUAACGUUUUUUUUUUCCUUUGGAAAAGAGAAGAACAGAGUGUUCGAUUCUGCCCUAUUUAUGUUUCUACUCGGGAACAAACGUUGGUUGUGUGUGUGUGUGUUUUCUUGUGUUGGUUUUUUUAAAGAAAUGGGAAGAAGAAAAAAAAUUCUCCGUCCCUUUCCUCGAUCUCGCUCCCUCUUCGUCCUUUCGACAGGCUCCCCCUCUCCCUUUUUGUUCUGUUUGUUUUUUGUUUUGUUUUGCUACGAGUCCACAUUCCUGUUUGUAAUCCUUGGUUCCCCCGCCCGGUUUUCUGUUUUCAGUAAAGUCUCCUUACGCCAAAAAAAAAAAAAAAAAAAAAAAAAAAAACAGCCAGGAAUGGUAGCCUGCUCCUGUACUCACAGCUAAUCUGGAGGCUGAGGCAGGAGGACCCCUUGAGCUCAGGGGUCUCACCCUGUCACCCAGGCUGGAGUGAAGUAUGCAGUGAGCUAUGACUGCAUACUUCACUCCAGCCUGGGUGACAGGGUCAGACCCCAUCUCUUUAAAAAAAAAAACAAACAAAAACUAGCCAGGCUCUGUGGCGUAUAGCUGUAAUCCCAGCACUUUGGGAAGCUGAGACAGGAGGAUGCCUUGAGCCCAGGAGUUCAAGGUUGUAGUGAGCUAUGAUCACACCACUGCACUCCAGCCUGGGUGACAGAGCAAGACUGUGUCUCAAAAGAAAAAAAGAAUUACCGUAAUAAUACAUGCCGUCUCACAUAAUUGUGUUAAAAUUAAGUGAUAUGUAAA